Molecule: transfer RNA, 85 nt
Filed under: Pyruvatibacter mobilis
Lineage: Bacteria; Pseudomonadati; Pseudomonadota; Alphaproteobacteria; Hyphomicrobiales; Parvibaculaceae
Description: tRNA-Leu
Rfam family: tRNA
About the family: Transfer RNA (tRNA) molecules are approximately 80 nucleotides in length. Their secondary structure includes four short double-helical elements and three loops (D, anti-codon, and T loops).
Source: RNAcentral
GCGGGCGUGGUGGAAUUGGUAGACACGCAAGAUUUAGGUUCUUGUGCCGAAAGGUGUGGGGGUUCAAGUCCCUCCGCCCGCACCA